This is a non-coding RNA of 195 nucleotides. It matches the Rfam family "Yersinia sRNA 276". The record is from Rfam.
AACCGACAUUAGCGAUUCGUUUUGCGAACCCGCGCCAACCGCCAGAUAGGAGUGCAUGCCGAGUUCUUUCAUCUGCUGUUCGCCAAUCACGCGGGUCACCACGUUUUUGCUGAACGAGUCGGCCAGCUGGCGCGCCUGGGAGGCGAGAUACGCCGCGUUACAGAUAUUCGGCGGCAUAUUGCCUAAAUCUUUCGC